Long non-coding RNA from Rosa chinensis, 332 nucleotides. RefSeq lists it as uncharacterized. The record is from RefSeq and is a predicted model, not a curated record. The transcript is spliced from 3 exons. NCBI's taxonomy places the organism in Eukaryota, Viridiplantae, Streptophyta, Magnoliopsida, Rosales, Rosaceae.
AAAGCAGAUUCGAUCUGAUUCGACUCGGCGGAGGAGACGACGACGACUCAUAACAAGGGUUCAAGUCAUAGUGAGGUUACUCGGUGUGAGACAUACUCUGGGUUGACAGAUUCUGGGAAGAAUUUCAGUACAAGGAGUGAAUUUUAAUCCCAACAGCAAAGAGUAUACGUAUGGAGUAGUGAUCAUAUUUCAGUCAUGUAUACGCCGAAUAAUUCAAAGCCUGAGAAUCUGAGAUGGUUGAAGCUGAAGACGAAGGGCCUGGUUUAAGAGCUUUCAGAUCUCUCUUGAAGCUCACCGAAGUCUUCCUCUGGGACGAUGGCAUAAGAAACGAC